AGUGAACGCUGGCGGUAGGCCUAACACAUGCAAGUCGAACGGCAGCACAGUAAGAGCUUGCUCUUACGGGUGGCGAGUGGCGGACGGGUGAGGAAUACAUCGGAAUCUACUUUUUCGUGGGGGAUAACGUAGGGAAACUUACGCUAAUACCGCAUACGACCUACGGGUGAAAGCAGGGGAUCUUCGGACCUUGCGCGAUUGAAUGAGCCGAUGUCGGAUUAGCUAGUUGGCGGGGUAAAGGCCCACCAAGGCGACGAUCCGUAGCUGGUCUGAGAGGAUGAUCAGCCACACUGGAACUGAGACACGGUCCAGACUCCUACGGGAGGCAGCAGUGGGGAAUAUUGGACAAUGGGCGCAAGCCUGAUCCGGCCAUACCGCGUGGGUGAAGAAGGCCUUCGGGUUGUAAAGCCCUUUUGUUGGGAAAGAAAAGCAGCAGGUUAAUACCCCGCUGUUCUGACGGGACCCAAAGAAUAAGCACCGGCUAACUUCGU
This 491-nucleotide ribosomal RNA is filed under the name uncultured bacterium. RNAcentral's name for it is "partial 16S ribosomal RNA". It matches the Rfam family "Bacterial small subunit ribosomal RNA", at positions 29 to 506 of the family's 1533-position model. The record is from RNAcentral.